RNAcentral lists this unclassified non-coding RNA (263 nucleotides) under plant metagenome. RNAcentral describes it as "partial contains small subunit ribosomal RNA, internal transcribed spacer 1, and 5.8S ribosomal RNA". The record is from RNAcentral.
UUUCCGUAGGUGAACCUGCGGAAGGAUCAUUAUUGUAUACUCGAGGUGAGAGGGCUGUCGCUGACCCGAAACGUCGUGGCAGCACGAGUAAUAUCACACACAUCCAACUUGCACCAAUGUUCACCACCGUGUAGGACCCCCCUCUGCUUUUUCGGAGGGGGGCAUACGGUUUCACAUCAACUUUGUACGCAGCGUAGCAUGUAUCUUUUGUUUUUGCGAUGACGCCAGCAAUACAACUUUCAACAACGGAUCUCUUGGUUCUG